Molecule: long non-coding RNA, 360 nt
Organism: Grammomys surdaster
Lineage: Eukaryota; Metazoa; Chordata; Mammalia; Rodentia; Muridae
Exons: 2
Source: RefSeq, a predicted model, not a curated record
UUUCUGUGUUCUUUUCUAAGUUCGAAGCAUUCAGCAAGUGGUGGCAAGGCAGAGCCAUCAGAAGAGGACACCUAAUUUCCAUGAUAAAUAUGGAAAUGCUAUAUUAGCAGGUGGAGGCAUCUUCUGUAUAUCUACAUGGACAUAUACAGCCACACAAAUUGGAAUAGAAUGGAACCUGUCCCCUGUUGGCAGAGUCACCCCAAAGGAAUGGAGAGAUCAGUAGUCAUGUCAGCUGGUACAAUAAUCAAGGAAUUGUUUCCAAACUAACUCAUAAGUGAAUGCCAAGUCAAAGAAUCAUGUACUCAUUAAACUAUGGCAGACUGAAAAACUAAUAAAGAAAUAAAGUAUUUGAAACCUUCA